GAACUUAAGCAUAUCAAUAAGCGGAGGAAAAGAAACUAACAAGGAUUCCCCUAGUAACGGCGAGUGAAGCGGGAACAGCUCAAAUUUGAAAUCUCAGCGCAAGCUGCGAAUUGUAGUUUAGAGAAACGUUUUCGGGGCCGGCAGCCAGUACAAGUUCUUUGGAACAAGGCAUCACAGAGGGUGAAAAUCCCGUCUUUGACUGGCUGCUUGGUUCCAUGUGAUACGUUUUCCAAGAGUCGGUUUGUUUGGGAAUGCAGACCAAAAUGGGUGGUAAAUACCAUCUAAAGCUAAAUAUUGGCGAGAGACCGAUAGCGAACAAGUACCGUGAGGGAAAGAUGAAAAGAACUUUGAAAAGAGAGUUAAACAGUGCGUGAAAUUGUCAAAAGGGAAACGUUUAAAACCAGUAUUGCGGGCAGAAACUCAGGUUCCAUUUAUGGUGCUGUAUUUUUCUGUCGGCGAGUCAACAUCAGUUUUGCUUGGAGUAAAACGCCAGGGGAAGGUAGCCUUCGGGUGUUAUAGCCUCUGGUAAUGCUCUGGGCGGGACUGAGGACUGCAGCGUUCUUUGGGUCUACCACACCAACGCUUAGGAUGUUGACGAAAUGGUUUUAAGCGACCCGUCUUGAAACACGGACCAAGGAGUCUAACAUAUAUGCGAGUAUUUGGGUGGCAAACCCUUAUGCGUAAUGAAAGUGAAAAGGUGGGAUCCUUUGCUGGUGCACCAUCGACCGCGCCAGAUUAUUGCUAUCUCGGCGUGAGUAUGAGCAUACAUGUUGGGACCCGAAA
RNAcentral lists this ribosomal RNA (783 nucleotides) under uncultured fungus. RNAcentral's name for it is "eukaryotic LSU rRNA". It matches the Rfam family "Eukaryotic large subunit ribosomal RNA", at positions 30 to 821 of the family's 3401-position model. Lineage: Eukaryota; Fungi. The record is from RNAcentral.